Molecule: ribosomal RNA, 502 nt
Filed under: uncultured Glomeromycotina
Lineage: Eukaryota; Fungi; Glomeromycota
Description: partial small subunit ribosomal RNA
Rfam family: Eukaryotic small subunit ribosomal RNA
Source: RNAcentral
CCAAUAGCGUAUAUUAAAGUUGUUGCAGUUAAAAAGUUCGUAGUUGAACUUCGGGGUUUAUUCAUUGGUCAGGCUUAAUUGUCUGUACUGGUGAGAUGAAUCUCUACCUUCUGAGGAACUUUCAUGCCAUUUAUUUGGUGUGAUUGGAAAUCAGGACUGUUACUUUGAAAAAAUUAGAGUGUUUAAAGCAGGCUAACGUCUGAAUACAUUUGCAUGGAAUAAUGAAAUAGGACGGACUGGUUCUAUUUUGUUGGUUUCUAGGAUCACCGUAAUGAUUAAUAGGGAUAGUUGUGGGCAUUAGUAUUCAAUUGUCAGAGGUGAAAUUCUUGGAUUUAUUGAAGACUAACUACUGCGAAAGCAUUUGCCAAGGAUGUUUUCAUUAAUCAAGAACGAAAGUUAGGGGAUCGAAGACGAUCAGAUACCGUCGUAGUCUUAACCAUAAACUAUGCCGACUAGGGAUCGGACGAAGUUAAUUUUAUAAUGACGCGUUCGGCACCUUACG